This is a long non-coding RNA of Haliotis rufescens (red abalone), 288 nucleotides long. RefSeq lists it as uncharacterized. The transcript is spliced from 3 exons. The record is from RefSeq and is a predicted model, not a curated record. NCBI's taxonomy places the organism in Eukaryota, Metazoa, Mollusca, Gastropoda, Lepetellida, Haliotidae.
ACCUGUAAAACCCAACUCAUCCAACCCAACUGAACAGCAUAUUUUGUGUUUCAGCCUCGAACGGCUCGAGUCAGGGAGAAAGGGCUGCACAGAUGACGACAGUGACGACCCAUGCCUCGAGCGACCCGAGUCGGACCACGAGGACACCAGUGACGACCACAAAAAAGCCUGCUACACAGGCGACUCCAUCACCAGCAGACUGCGGGGACCUCCAUGACGCCAGCAGGAGGGGGAACCUGGAGGAGGUGAAGCGGAUCCUGUCUCGGGGCGUGGACGUCAACUUAGGUG